UACGGAGGGAGCUAGCGUUGUUCGGAAUUACUGGGCGUAAAGCGCACGUAGGCGGUUUUUUAAGUCAGGGGUGAAAUCCCGGGGCUCAACCCCGGAACUGCCCUUGAAACUGGAAAGCUAGAAUCUUGGAGAGGCGAGUGGAAUUCCGAGUGUAGAGGUGAAAUUCGUAGAUAUUCGGAAGAACACCAGUGGCGAAGGCGACUCGCUGGACAAGUAUUGACGCUGAGGUGCGAAAGCGUGGGGAGCAAACAGG
RNAcentral lists this ribosomal RNA (253 nucleotides) under uncultured bacterium. Its description in RNAcentral is "partial 16S ribosomal RNA". It matches the Rfam family "Bacterial small subunit ribosomal RNA", at positions 524 to 776 of the family's 1533-position model. The record is from RNAcentral.